Molecule: long non-coding RNA, 6617 nt
Organism: Vigna unguiculata (cowpea)
Lineage: Eukaryota; Viridiplantae; Streptophyta; Magnoliopsida; Fabales; Fabaceae
Source: RefSeq, a predicted model, not a curated record
AAAGCAUAGUAAAGAUGAUCUUGAUCUUUCUAGUGCAAUGUGCGUGGCACACUAUUUUGUUAGCAGUGGCGGAGCAAUAGCUGUUAAAUGAUUGACAAAAACAAUUGAUUUUUGGUUUUGUGUAGUGCUUGGACUUUAUAUUACAAAUGUUUCUAUACCUUUUUCGCCCCGGAUUUCAACAAAACCAAAGCACCCCAUCAGAGGAUCCGUGACUAUUGAAUCGAGUUUUCAACGGUUGCAGAUUUCGGUCUUGCUUAGUUUUCUCAUGAUGUUAAUACUCAUGUACACGAGUGACGGGGACUUUUUGGAUAUGCAUCUAGUGGAAAACUCAGACAAUUCAGAUGUUUUCUCCUAUGGAAUCAUGCUUCUUUAGUUAUAACUCGACGGCGCCCAGUAGAUAAAACUCAAACAUUAAAGACUGGAAGAAAGCACGGCCAAAGAAUAUCUUUACCUUCACCCAAAAGAAAUGUUAGGUUUAUAGAGAAGGAGGUUUCACUGGGGAGAUACAACACCAAUAAGACCUGAGUCCAAUCACAUAAGGUAUUGACAUCACUCUCAACCCAAAACCUUAAGGCAAUGAAUUUAUGGGUCUUUAUCCUUAUAUAGUGCUCUACUUUCUCAUUUCUAGCCAAUGUGGGACUUAUCCUCACACUUGGAUUCUCUUAAUUGUGAGAAUAGAAGUCCCACAUCAAUGGGAACUUUACUUUGGGGCUUACUUUUAAUGUUAUAAAAGGAGCCCAGUGUUUCCUUAGGAAAUCAUCCCAAAGUCUCUCCCUUACUAUUCCUUUUGUUUUAUUUUCUUGAGAGAAGAAUUAAGAGAGAAUGUUAGUUUCUCCUUACAGUUCUCCUUGUAUUAGUUUUUCCUAUUUCCAAGAGAGGGGGGUGUCAUUGUUUUCUCCUUGGGAUUAGAGAGAAUGGUAUGCAAUUUUUCCUUUCCUUGAAUAAAUUAUAUUUGUUGCCUAUUAUCUGUUUUUGUGUUCCUUUAUUUUUAUCUUUUAUUUUAGUUGAGUACUUGUGCUAGUACUCUGAUACCCAACAGUGGUAUCAGAGCUGUUGGUUCGUGUGAUUAUAUUCCACUGCUAUUGUCAUUAGAAUAGUGUUGUGAUAGUCGAUAAAGUGUGGUAGUGUGAAAGUGCAUGUCUAGGAAAAUUCUGGCUAGGAAAGAAUUGGUACUUAAGUGUGUCUAUUAGUGACCCAUCUCUCUUUCCUGGAAAUUACUUGGUGCACUGGUUCACAAUCUGCCUGCAUUGUUCCAGUAGACAGUAUUGUUCAUAGUGAGAAGUGCAUAAGUCGGUUUUAAAGCCAUGACAACAAGAUACGAGAUAGAGAAGUUUAAUGCGAAAAAUUUCUCAUUGUGGAACCUGAAGAUGAAGGCAAUUUUGAGAAAGGACAAUUGUCUAGCGACAAUUGAAGAAAAAUCUAUGGGCAUUACAGAUCAAAAGUGGAAGGAAAAUGAUAAUAAUGCUAUAGCAAAUUUGCACUUAGCAUUGGCAGAUACGGUUUUAUCCAGCAUUGCGGAGAAGACUACAACAAAGGAGAUUUGGGAUACUCUCACAAGCUUGUACGAUGUUAAGUCACUUCACACAAGAAUAUUCUUGAAGAGAAAACUCUAUACUCUUCGAAUGAGUGAGUCUACAUCGGUAUCGGUGACAAACCACAUCAAAAAUCUAAAUACAUUGUUUGCCCAACUUUUAGCAACAGAUUUCAACAUAAUUGAAAAUGAACGUGCGAAGCUUCUACUAUAGAGUUUACUUUAUUCGUAUGAUCAGCUCGUCAUCAACAUUACAAAUUACAACGUUGUUGACCUCCUACACUUUGAGGAUGUUGCCGGAGUUGUUCUUGAAGAAGACUCCAAGCGAAAGAACAAAGAGGAUAUGGUGGAAAAUGCAAAGCAAGCAGAGGCUUUGACAAUGACGAGAGAAAGAUAAAAAAAACAUGGAUCUAGUGGGAGUCGAUCUCAUGAUAGAUGUCAAAGUAAGAAGCAUCUCAAAUGCUACCAUUGCGGCAAAAGAGGGCAUGUGAAGAAAGAUUGUUGGCAUUUGAAGAAUGGAGGAAAGAACUCUGAGGCAUCAACCUCACAAGGUUGUACGGCAAGUACCUCGGAGGACGAAGAUAUUUUGUGAAGAAGAGGAGAGAUUUGGUAAGUCAUGAAAGCUUAGAAGAUCAUGGUAGAUGUGUAUGUGCUUUUGGGAGAUACGUUGCAGGAUGCUAAUGCAAUGAUUGCAUCGACGAGUCAAGAAUAAGCAAUGUUGACGUGACAUCGUAAACUUGGGUAUAAGUCAGAGCGAAGUUUGCAAAUCCAAACAGAACGUAAUCUCUUACUCGGGCUCAAGAAGGUUGUUUUACCUUUACGCGAGCAUUGUGUGGUAAGUCAACAAACAUAGUCAUAGAUCGCAGAUUGCUAGUUUGACUACCAAGAAAAAGGAAAACACAAGAAGACUUGGUUUAUUCUGAUGUAAGGGAAUUACCGAAGUUAUCACUAGGAGAAUCAAAGUUUACUCUAGGAGAUUGUGGGUGUACUACGUCAAUAGGAAGUCAAAUGUGUUAUUACCAGUUCAAGGAAUUCAAAGCACGAGUAGAUCUUGAAACUAGGAAAAAUUAAGUGCUUGGGCUAUGCUAACAAUGUAAAGGGUACCACCUGUAGGUCCCACUACCCACAAGGUUAUUUUUAAGCAGAAAUGAAAUGAUGCUCCAACCAGAAGGCAUUAAAGAGCAAGAAAACUUGGUUUGCAUGGUUGAACAAAUCUUAGUACAGUUUAAAGAGAGUGCUCAGGAGUUCGUACAAGAAGACUCCAAACAAAGUUCAAAUCCAGGAAUUGAAGGCACAAUUGGCUAGGAAGUAUGAGAAGAAGGACUUGGAACCAAUAAACAAGGAUUUCAAGGAUGCAAAUUCACUGAGACAAAAAAGAUAGGAAGGUUUGGCUUUCUCAAAAGAAAUACUUACUGAUAAUCUUGCAGCGCUUCAACAUGCAAGAUUGCAAGCCAAUUUCUACCCUAUUUUCUAUUAGUUGUUGCUCAUGUAUGAGUCUUAACAAUGAAGCAAAAAGGAUGGAGAAGUCCUGAGUACCGAGUGCACACGUGCAUCCUUGGUGGACAACCUUAUGAAUGCUAUGAUGUGUACAAGACCAAACAUUGCACAAGCAGUGGGAGUGGUUAAUAGGUUCAUAGCAGGUUUGGUGGAGAAUAAUGAAGUAUUUACAAGACGUCCUUGGAAGGAACCUCAAGUGUUGCAUUGCGUUUCGGAGGAUCAGAAUUAUGUGUCAAUGAAGUCUAUGUGGAUUCGAUCCUACUGAAGUCUAUCAGAAGAACAAGCAACAUGAAGGCGGAGAAUAAAGCAUGGUGUGAAGAUUUGAUUAAUUUCAUCAAAAUCUUCAAGUGGGAGAUUGUGAUAAUAGAAGUCCUACAUCAAUAGGAACUUACUUUGGGUCUUACUUUUAAUGUUAUAAAAGGAGCCCAAUGUUUCCUUAAGAAAUUAUCCCAAAGUCUCUCCCUUUCUAUUCCUUUUGCUUAUUUUCUUGAGAGAAGAAUUAAGAGAGAAUAUUAGUUUCUCCUCUAAGAGAGAAUGUUAGUUUCUCCUUUAAGGUUCUCCUUGUAUUAGUUUUUCCUAUUUCCAAGAGAAGGGAGUUGUCAUUGUUUUCUCCUUGGGAUUACAGAGAAUGGUAUGCAAUUUUCCCUUUCCUUGAAUAAAUUAUAUUUGUUGUCUAUUAUCUGUUUUUGUGUUCCUUUAUUUUCAUCUUUUAUUUUAGUUGUGAGUACUUGUGCUAGUACUCUGAUACCUAACAUGAAAACCCGGGUGCAACGCUUGUUUCCCCAGUUCUUGAUGCCACCAAUAAUCAACCGUGGAUUCAUUAUGUUUCUCCUCCUACUAUCCGUCAAAGCAUAAUCUGGAUGGAUAAUGCCAACAAUAUCUGGAAUAAUUUACAGAACCGAUACUCACAAGGCGAUCUUCUUCGCAUUUCUGAACAUCAGAUGGACGUUGCUUCUUUAUGCUAUGGUGAACACACUAUUUUUGAGUAUUUUUACAAAACUCAAGGUGAUAUGGGAUGAGGUCAACAAUUUCAGACUAGAACCUGUGUGCAUGAGCAAGCCAAAAUGUGUCUGUCAAGUCUCUACCAGUCUUGAUCAAAGAAAGCAUGAAAACCGGGUUAUGCAAUUUCUCCAUGGUAUAAAUAAUCAAUAUAAUAAGGGUGUUGGGUUUUUUAAUAAACUUAAAUAUAUUAGCAGUGGUGAGUAACUAGCCAUUGUAAGAAACUAGCCAUUGUAGGUAGUAAAUGUACUAGCCGUUAAUGUCUAUGUAGUUAAUGAGUUAGCCGUUUAUAGCCGUUUUGAGCACAACGGUCAGAAAUUUUUUAGCAUGUAUUGUUGAUGGCAUGAAUAGCACAUAACAUAAGAGUUGAAUAAAGUUUUUUUCACAAGUGAUGUUUAUUGUCUACAAAGUGGUAUCAAGAGCCAGUUAGCUUGAGUAUAUGAGGGAAAAAGAGCUAGAGAGCUUGAGUGUUUGAAAAAAAGAGAGAGCUAGAGAGCUCAAGUGUUUUAGUGUUUGAAAAAAAGAGAGUGAAAUGGUUAGUUGACAAAGGCUGUCAACUAUGAAAAUUAGGGUCUAAAAAUGAAGGCUCUUCUUGGCUCCCAAGAAAAUUGGGAGGUGGUUGAAGAUGGUUUCGAUGAACCAUCCAACACUAUAGGUUGGUCAAAUGCCUAGUUGAAAGUGCUGAAAGACGCAUGUGUGAAGGACAAGACAACUUUGUACAUCUUGUACCAAGUUGUGGACGAGUCCGGCUUUGAGAAGAUUGCAAGUGCCAAAUCUUCAAAAGAAGCAUGGGACAUAUUGGAUAAGGCGUAUAAGAGAGAUGAUCGAGUGAAGUAGGUGCAACUUCAAACACUUAGAUGCGAAUUGGAGAGCAUGAAGAUGAAAGAGACAAAAGGAGUAGCUGAGUACAUAUCUCGGGUUGAAACUGUGGCAAAUCAACUUAGUAGAAACAUAGAGACAUUGUCCGCUAGCCGAAUUGUUGAAAAGAUUUUGAGGUCUCUGACAGAUGACUUUGAGAACGUGGUGUGUGCCAUUGAAGAGUCCAAAGACUUGUCAAUGCUCACGGUAGAAGAGCUUGUCGGAUCUCUCGAGGCACACGAGAAAAGAAAGAAGAAGAAGGCAGAGUCCCUUGAACAUGCACUCCAAAAAUGGUCACAAUUAAGAAGAAUGCUUUUUAUACUCAGAACACUCAAAGUAGAGGAAGAGGUCAGGGAAGUAGAGGAAACAGUCGCGGUGGCCGAGGUCGAGGCAGACAGGAAGUAGAGAGAGAAUAUAUCAGCAACCAAAAUUGGCGCGAAGAGGAUGCGGUUCAUGGAGAGGAGGUCGGUUGAGCAACUCAAAUGUUGAGUGCUACAAAUGUGGCAAGUAUGGUCACUAUGCAAAGGAUUGUAACUCGGAUAUGUGUUACAAUUGUGGUAAGGUUGGACAUUUUGCAAAAUAGUGCUGAUCUGAAAAUAAGAAGGAAGUGACAACCAAUUUUCUCAUAGAAGAUGUUGAAGAGAAAGAGGGGUUGUUGAUGAUGUCAAGAGUCGAGGAUAUGCAAUUAAACAACUCGACAGGACAACAAAGCAGUUUAACUAACUCGGUGUGGUACCUUGACACGGGUUCAAGUAACCACAUGUGCGGAGACGAGCACUUCUUCAAAGACUUAACUAAAGUAGAAGUUGGAGAUGUGUCUUUUGGAGAUGAUUCAAAGGUUACGGUAAAAGGUCGAUGAACGAUCUGGUACUUGUAGAAGGAUGGUUGAGUUGGGGAAAUUCGAGAUGUGUACUAUGUACCUGAUCUCAAAAGUAACAUUUUGAGCAUGGGACAGUUAAUGGAAAAUGGUUACCCAGUUUUAAUGAAAGAUUAAGUACUAGACUUGAAGGACAAAAUUGGACAUUUGAUUGCCCGUGUAGAGAUGAAGAAAAAUUGGAUGUAUAAGUUGGGCUUAAAGAUCAUACAAGAGAAGUGUUUGAAACUUGAUGUCCAGGAUGAGACAAUGAUGUGGCACUUUCGGUUUGGUCACUUACAUUUUGAUGGAUUGAUGGAACUGGUGAAGAAAGGUAUGGUGCAUGGACUGCCAAGCUUGGAAUUCAAAAGUAAAUUGUGUGAAGAAUGUGUACUUAGCAAACAGUCGAGAACUUCGUUUCUGAGAAAUUCCAAGUACAAAGCAAAGGAACAACUCGACCUAAUUCAUACCGAUGUGUGUGGAGCAAUUAUUCCUGAAUCUUUCAAUGGUAAGAGAUACUUUAUUUAUUUUGUAGAUGAUUUUUCAUGAAAGACAUGGGCAUACUUCUUGAAAUAAAAGUUUGAGGUGUUCAAGGUGUUCAAGAAGUUUAGAGUGAUGGUGGAGAAGGAGACGGGCAAAUACAUUAAGGUUGUUCCAUCUGAUAGGGGAGGCGAGUUAACAUAAACAGAGUUCAUGAAGUACUAUGAGGAGCACGACAUAAGAAGAUUUUUUUACAACCUCAUACUCACCACAAUUGUUAUACCACUGGCUAUAGAAAAGUUUGAAACCACUAACAAUGAAAAUGAACCCUGACGGCCCAAAAUACGAACCGUGCAAGAAUUGUAUGAGUCUACUGAACAGGUACAUGUUGUUUGUCUU